This 195-nucleotide ribosomal RNA is filed under the name uncultured bacterium. RNAcentral describes it as "partial 16S ribosomal RNA". It matches the Rfam family "Bacterial small subunit ribosomal RNA", at positions 1307 to 1500 of the family's 1533-position model. The record is from RNAcentral.
GCAACUCGCCUACAUGAAGUCGGAAUUGCUAGUAAUCGCGGAUCAGCAUGCCGCGGUGAAUACGUUCCCGGGCCCUUGUACACACCGCCCGUCACACCAUGAGAGCCGGUAACACCCGAAGUCAGUAGCCUAACCGCAAGGGGGGCGCUGCCGAAGGUGGGAUUGGUAAUUGGGGUGAAGUCGUAACAAGGUACC